This 472-nucleotide ribosomal RNA is filed under the name uncultured bacterium. Its description in RNAcentral is "bacterial SSU rRNA". It matches the Rfam family "Bacterial small subunit ribosomal RNA", at positions 355 to 825 of the family's 1533-position model. The record is from RNAcentral.
UGGGGAAUAUUGGACAAUGGGCGAAAGCCUGAUCCAGCCAUGCCGCGUGUGUGAAGAAGGUCUUCGGAUUGUAAAGCACUUUAAGUUGGGAGGAAGGGCAGUUACCUAAUACGUAUCUGUUUUGACGUUACCGACAGAAUAAGCACCGGCUAACUCUGUGCCAGCAGCCGCGGUAAUACAGAGGGUGCAAGCGUUAAUCGGAAUUACUGGGCGUAAAGCGCGCGUAGGUGGUUUGUUAAGUUGGAUGUGAAAUCCCCGGGCUCAACCUGGGAACUGCAUUCAAGACUGACAAGCUAGAGUAUGGUAGAGGGUGGUGGAAUUUCCUGUGUAGCGGUGAAAUGCGUAGAUAUAGGAAGGAACACCAGUGGCGAAGGCGACCACCUGGACUGAUACUGACACUGAGGUGCGAAAGCGUGGGGAGCAAACAGGAUUAGAUACCCCAGUAGUCCCUGAGCGGGCUGGCAAGGCGCAU